This 798-nucleotide ribosomal RNA is filed under the name uncultured Glomus. RNAcentral's name for it is "SSU rRNA". It matches the Rfam family "Eukaryotic small subunit ribosomal RNA", at positions 314 to 1114 of the family's 1831-position model. The record is from RNAcentral. Lineage: Eukaryota; Fungi; Glomeromycota; Glomeromycetes; Glomerales; Glomeraceae.
AUCAACUUUCGAUGGUAGGAUAGAGGCCUACCAUGGUGGUAACGGGUAACGGGGUGUUAGGGCACGACACCGGAGAGGGAGCCUGAGAAACGGCUACCACAUCCAAGGAUGGCAGCAGGCGCGCAAAUUACCCAAUCCCGACACGGGGAGGUAGUGACAAUAAAUAACAAUACGGGGUUCUUUCGGAUUUCGUAAUUGGAAUGAGUACAAUUUAAAUCUCUUAACGAGGAACAAUUGGAGGGCAAGUCUGGUGCCAGCAGCCGCGGUAAUUCCAGCUCCAAUAGCGUAUAUUAAAGUUGCUGCAGUUAAAAAGCUCGUAGUUGAAUUUCGGGACCAAUAUGUCGGUCGUGCCUCGGUACGUACUGGCAUCGUUGGUUUCUCCCUUCUGACGAACCAUGAUGUCAUUCAUUUGGUGUCGUGGGGAAUCAGGACUGUUACUUUGAAAAAAUUAGAGUGUUUAAAGCAGGCUCACGCUUGAAUACAUUAGCAUGGAAUAAUGAAAUAGGACGUUUGAUUCUAUUUUGUUGGUUUCUAGGAUCGACGUAAUGAUUAAUAGGGAUAGUUGGGGGCAUUAGUAUUCAAUUGUCAGAGGUGAAAUUCUUGGAUUUAUUGAAGACUAACUACUGCGAAAGCAUUUGCCAAGGAUGUUUUCAUUAAUCAAGAACGAAAGUUAGGGGAUCGAAGACGAUCAGAUACCGUCGUAGUCUUAACCAUAAACUACGCCGACUAGGGAUCGGAUGAUGUUAAUUUUUUAAUGACUCAUUCGGCGCCUUACGGGAAACCAAAGUGUUUGGGUUC